UGCAUGGAAAGCUACUAGCUCAAGCUAAAAACCUGUUAGCAUAGAUUUAAAGGCUGUUUUUUGUAACCCACAGAGGCUGAAGGAGGAGGAAGAGUUCAGCGACUGUGUUGUAGAAGUUUAUCUGUCAACAAGGGCUGAAACGUUUUUUUAUUUGUCUACAAAUAUUCAGCAGUUUUGAAAUGGAGGAAACCAGUUGAAAAUAAUCUGGAUCUCAACAGAAAACCUGAUGGACAAUCGUCACAUUUUUGGAUCUGACUCUGUUUCAGGUGAGACAUUUCUGCCUUACUGCUGUGCUUCCAGGCUGAGGGAAAUCAGAUGAUUUGUCCUAAUUUCUAAAGCAGUGGCAGACAGACACUGUUUGUUCCUUGGCAACGUCUCCAAACCUGCAGCCUCUGCUCCACUCACCAGCUUGAUGUCCCUGUUUCCAACGAUGGUGCUGAACUCGCUCAGGUCCCUCAUGAGCCCGUUGAGAAUCUCAGCGAUGCGUUUCCUCUGGUGGCUGCUCACCUCUUGGAUACGGGACAACUCUGCCUCUAAAGCGAUCAGCCACAACAUACAUUAUAAUAACAAAUAUUAAUAACGAGCCUCCUGAAAGCCUGACCCACCAUCUUCUUUGCGAGCUCUUCAGCCAGGAGCUUGUUCUGCAUGGUCUUCUCCUCCACCUCCAG
This is a long non-coding RNA of Lates calcarifer (barramundi perch), 668 nucleotides long. RefSeq lists it as uncharacterized. The record is from RefSeq and is a predicted model, not a curated record. Lineage: Eukaryota; Metazoa; Chordata; Actinopteri; Centropomidae. The transcript has 5 exons.